GACGAACGCUGGCGGCGUGCCUAACACAUGCAAGUCGAACGAAGCAUAGCAAUAUGCUUAGUGGCGGACGGGUGAGUAACGCGUGAACAAUCUGCCCUGUACAAAGGAAUAGCCUCGGGAAACCGGGAUUAAAACCGUAUGACACUUUAGUAUCGCAUGAUAAGAAAGUCAAAUCGAUUAGAGGUAUGGGAUGAGUUCGCGUCUGAUUAGCUGGUUGGCGGGGUAACGGCCCACCAAGGCGACGAUCAGUAGCCGGCCUGAGAGGGUGAACGGCCACACUGGAACUGAGACACGGUCCAGACUCCUACGGGAGGCAGCAGUGGGGAAUAUUGCACAAUGGAGGGAACUCUGAUGCAGCGACGCCGCGUGAGUGAAGAAGGUCUUCGGAUCGUAAAACUCUGUCCUUGGUGAAGAAAGGACGGUAGCCAAGGAGGAAGCCCCGGCUAACUACGUG
Molecule: ribosomal RNA, 454 nt
Filed under: uncultured bacterium
Lineage: Bacteria
Description: bacterial SSU rRNA
Rfam family: Bacterial small subunit ribosomal RNA
Source: RNAcentral